UACGUAGGGCGCGAGCGUUGUCCGGAAUUAUUGGGCGUAAAGAGCUCGUAGGCGGUUUGUUGCGUCGGAUGUGAAAGCCCGGGGCUUAACCCCGGGUCUGCAUUCGAUACGGGCAGACUGGAGUGUGGUAGGGGAGGUCGGAAUUCCUGGUGUAGCGGUGAAAUGCGCAGAUAUCAGGAGGAACACCGGUGGCGAAGGCGGAUCUCUGGGCCAUUACUGACGCUGAGGAGCGAAAGCGUGGGGAGCGAACAGG
This 253-nucleotide ribosomal RNA is filed under the name uncultured bacterium. Its description in RNAcentral is "partial 16S ribosomal RNA". It matches the Rfam family "Bacterial small subunit ribosomal RNA", at positions 524 to 776 of the family's 1533-position model. The record is from RNAcentral.